RNAcentral lists this ribosomal RNA (293 nucleotides) under uncultured bacterium. RNAcentral's name for it is "partial 16S ribosomal RNA". It matches the Rfam family "Bacterial small subunit ribosomal RNA", at positions 505 to 796 of the family's 1533-position model. The record is from RNAcentral.
GUGCCAGCCGCCGCGGUAAUACGUAGGGGGCUAGCGUUGUCCGGAAUUAUUGGGCGUAAAGCGCGUGUAGGCGGCUUGUUAAGUCCGGUGUGAAAACUCGGUGGCUCAACCCCGAGCCUGCACUGGAAACUGGCUUGCUAGAGUCCGGAAGAGGAGAUUGGAAUUCCUGGUGUAGCGGUGAAAUGCGCAGAUAUCAGGAAGAACACCCGUGGCGAAGGCGGAUCUCUGGGACGGUACUGACGCUGAGACGCGAAAGCGUGGGGAGCAAACAGGAUUAGAAACCCCUGUAGUCC